GGGUCCUUAGCUCAGUGGUAGAGCAAUCGACUGCAGAUCGAUAGGUCACCGGUUCGAACCCGGUAGGGCCCU
Non-coding RNA from Jatropha curcas, 72 nucleotides. The record is from Rfam. Lineage: Eukaryota; Viridiplantae; Streptophyta; Magnoliopsida; Malpighiales; Euphorbiaceae.